CUCACCGGGGCGACAGCAAUAUGAAGGUCAGGGCUGAAGACCUUACCCGAUUAGCUGAGAGGUGGUGCAUGGCCGUCGUCAGUUCGUACUGUGAAGCAUCCUGUUAAGUCAGGCAACGAGCGAGACCCACGUCCACAGUUGCCAGCAUACCCUCCGGGGUGAUGGGUACACUGUGGAGACCGCCGCUGCUAAAGCGGAGGAAGGAGUGGGCAACGGUAGGUCAGGUAUGCCCCGAAUCUCCCGGGCUACACGCGGGCUACAAUGGUUGGUACAAUGGGCAUCUACCCCGAAAGGGGAAGGAAAUCUCUUAAAGCCAAUCGUAGUUCGGAUUGAGGGCUGCAACUCGCCCUCAUGAAGCUGGAAUCCGUAGUAAUCGCGUUUCAACAGAACGCGGUGAAUACGUCCCUGCUCCUU
RNAcentral lists this ribosomal RNA (414 nucleotides) under uncultured Methanosaeta sp. Its description in RNAcentral is "bacterial SSU rRNA". It matches the Rfam family "Archaeal small subunit ribosomal RNA", at positions 926 to 1338 of the family's 1478-position model. The record is from RNAcentral. Lineage: Archaea; Methanobacteriati; Methanobacteriota; Methanomicrobia; Methanotrichales; Methanotrichaceae.